GUAGGUGGCAAGCGUUGUCCGGAAUUAUUGGGCGUAAAGCGCGCGCAGGCGGUCCUUUAAGUCUGACGUGAAACGCCCACGGCUCAACCGUGGAGGGUCAUUGGAAACUGGGGGACUUGAGUACAGAAGAGGAAAGCGGAAUUCCAAGUGUAGCGGUGAAAUGCGUAGAGAUUUGGAGGAACACCAGUGGCGAAGGCGGCUUUCUGGUCUGUAACUGACGCUGAGGCGCGAAAGCGUGGGGAGCAAACAGGAUUAGAUACCCUGGUAGUCCACGCCGUAAACGAUGAGUGCUAAGUGUUAGGGGGGUUUCCCGCCCCCCUUAGUGCUGCAGCUAACGCAUUAAGCACUCCGCCUGGGGGAGUACGGCCGCAAGGCUG
RNAcentral lists this ribosomal RNA (377 nucleotides) under uncultured organism. RNAcentral's name for it is "partial 16S ribosomal RNA". It matches the Rfam family "Bacterial small subunit ribosomal RNA", at positions 527 to 896 of the family's 1533-position model. The record is from RNAcentral.